RNAcentral lists this ribosomal RNA (377 nucleotides) under uncultured bacterium. RNAcentral describes it as "bacterial SSU rRNA". It matches the Rfam family "Bacterial small subunit ribosomal RNA", at positions 523 to 898 of the family's 1533-position model. The record is from RNAcentral.
AUACGUAGGUGGCAAGCGUUGUCCGGAUUUAUUGGGCGUAAAGCGAGCGCAGGCGGUUUCUUAAGUCUGAUGUGAAAGCCCCCGGCUCAACCGGGGAGGGUCAUUGGAAACUGGGAGACUUGAGUGCAGAAGAGGAGAGUGGAAUUCCAUGUGUAGCGGUGAAAUGCGUAGAUAUUAGGAGGAACACCAGUGGCGAAGGCGACUCUCUGGACUGCAACUGACGCUGAGGCACGAAAGCGUGGGUAGCGAACAGGAUUAGAUACCCUGGUAGUCCACGCCGUAAACGAUGAGUGCUAAGUGUUGGAGGGUUUCCGCCCUUCAGUGCUGCAGCAAACGCAUUAAGCACUCCGCCUGGGGAGUACGACCGCAAGGUUGAA